RNAcentral lists this ribosomal RNA (309 nucleotides) under uncultured eukaryote. Its description in RNAcentral is "partial 18S ribosomal RNA". It matches the Rfam family "Eukaryotic small subunit ribosomal RNA", at positions 1470 to 1796 of the family's 1831-position model. The record is from RNAcentral.
CCCUUAGAUGUUCUGGGCGGCCCGCGCACUACAUUGGCACUCUCAAUAAGUUCCUAGAUCUAAAACUUUGGGGUAUUCUAUUAAGUGGUGUCGUGACUGGGAUUAACCCUUGCAAUUAUUGGUUACGAACGAGGAAUUCCUUGUAAUCGCGGUUUAUCAGCCCGCGUUGAAUGCGUCCCUGCCCUUUGUACACACCGCCCGUCGCUCCUACCGGUGAAUCGUCCGGUGAAGUUCAUGGAGUGGUGGUUGUUCCAGCUGCUGUCGAAGUGAAAUGGACCUCACGAUUUAGAGGAAGGAGAAGUCGUAACA